This 701-nucleotide ribosomal RNA is filed under the name Escherichia coli. Its description in RNAcentral is "partial 23S ribosomal RNA". It matches the Rfam family "Bacterial large subunit ribosomal RNA", at positions 550 to 1251 of the family's 2925-position model. The record is from RNAcentral. Lineage: Bacteria; Pseudomonadati; Pseudomonadota; Gammaproteobacteria; Enterobacterales; Enterobacteriaceae.
CUGAAACCGUGUACGUACAAGCAGUGGGAGCACGCUUAGGCGUGUGACUGCGUACCUUUUGUAUAAUGGGUCAGCGACUUAUAUUCUGUAGCAAGGUUAACCGAAUAGGGGAGCCGAAGGGAAACCGAGUCUUAACUGGGCGUUAAGUUGCAGGGUAUAGACCCGAAACCCGGUGAUCUAGCCAUGGGCAGGUUGAAGGUUGGGUAACACUAACUGGAGGACCGAACCGACUAAUGUUGAAAAAUUAGCGGAUGACUUGUGGCUGGGGGUGAAAGGCCAAUCAAACCGGGAGAUAGCUGGUUCUCCCCGAAAGCUAUUUAGGUAGCGCCUCGUGAAUUCAUCUCCGGGGGUAGAGCACUGUUUCGGCAAGGGGGUCAUCCCGACUUACCAACCCGAUGCAAACUGCGAAUACCGGAGAAUGUUAUCACGGGAGACACACGGCGGGUGCUAACGUCCGUCGUGAAGAGGGAAACAACCCAGACCGCCAGCUAAGGUCCCAAAGUCAUGGUUAAGUGGGAAACGAUGUGGGAAGGCCCAGACAGCCAGGAUGUUGGCUUAGAAGCAGCCAUCAUUUAAAGAAAGCGUAAUAGCUCACUGGUCGAGUCGGCCUGCGCGGAAGAUGUAACGGGGCUAAACCAUGCACCGAAGCUGCGGCAGCGACGCUGAUGCGUUGUUGGGUAGGGGAGCGUUCUGUAAGCCUG